GAUGAACGCUGCGGCGUGCCUAAUACAUGCAAGUCGAGCGAACAGACGAGGAGCUUGCUCCUCUGACGUUAGCGGCGGACGGGUGAGUAACCCGUGGAUAACCUACCUAUAAGACUGGGAUAACUUCGGGAAACCGGAGCUAAUACCGGAUAAUAUAUUGAACCGCAUGGUUCAAUAGUGAAAGACGGUUUUGCUGUCACUUAUAGAUGGAUCCGCGCCGCAUUAGCUAGUUGGUAAGGUAACGGCUUACCAAGGCAACGAUGCGUAGCCGACCUGAGAGGGUGAUCGGCCACACUGGAACUGAGACACGGUCCAGACUCCUACGGGAGGCAGCAGUAGGGAAUCUUCCGCAAUGGGCGAAAGCCUGACGGAGCAACGCCGCGUGAGUGAUGAAGGUCUUCGGAUCGUAAAACUCUGUUAUUAGGGAAGAACAAAUGUGUAAGUAACUAUGCACGUCUUGACGGUACCUAAUCAGAAAGCCACGGCUAACUACGUG
RNAcentral lists this ribosomal RNA (496 nucleotides) under uncultured bacterium. RNAcentral's name for it is "partial 16S ribosomal RNA". It matches the Rfam family "Bacterial small subunit ribosomal RNA", at positions 28 to 507 of the family's 1533-position model. The record is from RNAcentral.